Molecule: ribosomal RNA, 344 nt
Filed under: uncultured bacterium
Lineage: Bacteria
Description: bacterial SSU rRNA
Rfam family: Bacterial small subunit ribosomal RNA
Source: RNAcentral
ACCGCAGUGGUGACNGUUAGGUUAAAGGGGGGAUCGAAAGACCUCUCGCCUGAAGAGGAGCCCGCGUCCGAUUAGCUGGUUGGUGAGGUAAUGGCUCACCAAGGCAUCGAUCGGUAGCCGGCCUGAGAGGGCGGUCGGCCACACUGGCACUGAGACACGGGCCAGACUCCUACGGGAGGCAGCAGUGGGGAAUUUUGGGCAAUGGGCGCAAGCCUGACCCAGCAACGCCGCGUGAAGGAUGAAAUCCCUCUGGGAUGUAAACUUCGAAAGUCGGGAAAGAAAUCGCCAUGGAUAACACCCGUGGUGGAUGACGGUACCCGACGUAAGCCCCGGCUAACUACGUG